CCAUCAGUUUGGUACAUCCUUACUUAUUCCUCUUUUUUUUUUUUUUUUUUUUUUUUGGAGAGGGGUAAAUGAUGAUUGGAGCUUGAUUAGUCUCUCUGCAGCAGCUUGGAGAUUGGCAACAAACUCCUUGUUGCUCCUUUCUGAU
Molecule: small nucleolar RNA, 145 nt
Filed under: Sarcophilus harrisii (Tasmanian devil)
Lineage: Eukaryota; Metazoa; Chordata; Mammalia; Dasyuromorphia; Dasyuridae
Description: U8 small nucleolar RNA (ENSSHAG00000019954.2)
Rfam family: U8 small nucleolar RNA
About the family: U8 is a member of the C/D class of snoRNA which contain the C (UGAUGA) and D (CUGA) box motifs.
Source: Rfam by way of RNAcentral